This 252-nucleotide ribosomal RNA is filed under the name uncultured bacterium. RNAcentral describes it as "partial 16S ribosomal RNA". It matches the Rfam family "Bacterial small subunit ribosomal RNA", at positions 524 to 776 of the family's 1533-position model. The record is from RNAcentral.
UACGGAGGAUGCGAGCGUUAUCCGGAUUUAUUGGGUUUAAAGGGUGCGUAGGCGGGAUGCCAACUCAGCGGUAAAAAUGCGGUGCUCAACGCCGUCGAGCCGUUGAAACUGGCGUUCUUGAGUGGGCGAGAAGUAUGCGGAAUGCGUGGUGUAGCGGUGAAAUGCAUAGAUAUCACGCAGAACUCCGAUUGCGAAGGCAGCAUACCGGCGCCCUACUGACGCUGAGGCACGAAAGCGUGGGUAUCGAACAGG